CUAACCUUCGGGAAGCCGCAGUGGGGAAUCUUGGACAAUGGGGGAAACCCUGAUCCAGCAAUGCCGCGUGUGUGAAGAAGGCCCUCGGGUUGUAAAGCACUUUCAGUAGGGAAGAAAUUCUCAAGAGUAAUAUACUUGAGCGUUGACGUUACCUACAGAAGAAGCACUGGCUAACUCUGUGCCAGCAGCCGCGGUAAUACAGAGAGUGCGAGCGUUAAUCGGAAUCACUGGGCGUAAAGAGCGCGUAGGUGGAUAUUUAAGUCGGAUGUGAAAGCCCUAGGCUUAACCUAGGAACUGCACUCGAUAUUGAAGAGUUUGAUUCUGGUAGAGGGAAGUGGAAUUUUCGGUGUAGCGGUGAAAUGCGUAGAUAUCGGAAAGAACACCAGUGGCGAAGGCGGCUUCCUGGACCAAUACUGACACUGAGGUGCGAAAGCGUGGGGAGCAAACAGGAUUAGAGACCCUGGUAGUCCA
RNAcentral lists this ribosomal RNA (471 nucleotides) under Coxiella endosymbiont of Lipoptena fortisetosa. Its description in RNAcentral is "bacterial SSU rRNA". It matches the Rfam family "Bacterial small subunit ribosomal RNA", at positions 332 to 797 of the family's 1533-position model. Lineage: Bacteria; Pseudomonadati; Pseudomonadota; Gammaproteobacteria; Legionellales; Coxiellaceae. The record is from RNAcentral.